This 389-nucleotide long non-coding RNA is filed under the name Ananas comosus (pineapple). Its description in RNAcentral is "long non-coding RNA (ACOM_LNC002503)". The record is from RNAcentral. Lineage: Eukaryota; Viridiplantae; Streptophyta; Magnoliopsida; Poales; Bromeliaceae.
UACAGGUUCGCACGUGAGCGGCACGGCGGCGCGAGGAAAGGGCGUAGCUCCGUAGAUAGCGCCCUACCCCAGAGACCAGAGCUAACAGUACCCCGUCGACAUAGCUUAGGGGUAUAGGCAAUGAAAGCAAGCAAAUGUAUCAAACUUGUAAUAAGUAAAUAUUGUAGUAACUUAGAUUGUAAUUGGAAGUCAAAUGUUAAAGAAUGGAAAUUGGGAUGUAAAAGCUAUGGAUGUGAAUGUAUGUAAUAACAUAGGAUGUGUUUAUGUUGUAUGAUACCUUCCUUUUGCAAUCUUGAUUGAUAUCUGUUCCUGGUUGGAACUCUGUACAUUGUAUUGAUUACGAUGCCUUGAAUGUACAGGGAAGACUCUGUCCGUAGUACAGGGGAAAU